RNAcentral lists this ribosomal RNA (301 nucleotides) under uncultured bacterium. RNAcentral describes it as "partial 16S ribosomal RNA". It matches the Rfam family "Bacterial small subunit ribosomal RNA", at positions 509 to 809 of the family's 1533-position model. The record is from RNAcentral.
CAGCCGCCGCGGUAACACGGAGGGUGCAAGCGUUAAUCGGAAUUACUGGGCGUAAAGCGCACGCAGGCGGUCUGACAAGUCAGAUGUGAAAUCCCCGGGCUUAACCUGGGAACUGCAUUUGAAACUGUCAGGCUGGAGUCUUGUAGAGGGGGGUGGAAUUCCAGGUGUAGCGGUGAAAUGCGUAGAGAUCUGGAGGAAUACCGGUGGCGAAGGCGGCCCCCUGGACAAAGACUGACGCUCAGGUGCGAAAGCGUGGGGAGCAAACAGGAUUAGAUACCCGGGUAGUCCCUGUCUCUUAUAA